GGAGCCAGCCAGGCGAGCGUGGACGGGGGAGGUGUCAAGGGAUGCCCAUAGAAAUGGCUUCUCUUUUCAGUAACGUGACUGCGGAAAUAUUGAUUUUGCAAUAAAAGUGCGCGCGCAGUACCGAGAUUUGUGCCAAAAGCGAGAGCAGGACACGAGCCAAAUACGAUGCCACGAUGUGUGGCAUGUUGUCGGCGGUCAGUAAGGAUAUGCGGAGAGCUGGAUAACCAGAGAGCCAUACACGGUCCUACGGAGCCGAGCCGAAUGCACUCGCCAAUUCGGAGCAGAAGCCUUGGGCCAACCAGUCGGAGAAACGUCACGAGCCAGCUGCCACUUAUUCUAAAGGAAAAAAUAAUUACAACUGAAAAUAACAGUCUAAAAAUUAACAAAUAAAUAUCGACAAUUUGUAAAUCCAAUAAUUAAUUGUGAAUUGCCAAGGCUAAGACUUGGAUUCGUGGAAAAAUCCAAGCCGGAGCCAAAAAGCACGUGAUGCAACUGACGACUCCCUUAUGGGACAGUGAUUAAAGUGAAAUUGUGGGGUCAGAGCUAGCCAAAAAUCGAUAGGGGUCGCCUCCAAAAAACGUGUCCUCCAGCUGGAAACGUGCGCAGCCUGCGAAAUUUCCUUUGGUCUUGGUCCUGCUGGUCCCGUCCAAAGUCAGAGCAAAUCUCAACCUACGCAGGGUUAUAUAACACAAUCGCUACAAUAGCUACAACGCCCACGCAGUUUGCCACUAAAUCGAUAGACCAAAAACCGUCAUGACGAGCACCUAAUUGGAUUGAACGCGAGGGAUUAACCACCAGUGGGCUUUAAAAGGGAACGUCACCAUCGAAUCCGCGAAUUUGGGCUAGUCACUCCGCCAGAUAAUGGGUAAAAAGAAGGUACCCAGCGAGGAGCUAAUCGUCCCGCCGCAGGACAACCGGAUAUGCGGCACAAUAUGCAUUUGCCAGAUGACUCUGGUGCUCAGUUCGGUGGCUCUGGUCUAUCUCACAGUGGCCAUCUACAUGCCCUCCACCAGGGCUUUUAAGAGCGGCAUCGACCCCACGCCGGUCAUGUGCACCACCACGCGGGCGGUCAACAAGGAUAACUGCGAGUGGGGCAGCUGCGGCGAGUGGUGUCUGAGCAAGACCUCCGGCGCCUGCAUCCAGAUCUACGUGAAUCUUCGCAGCAAUGGCAGCAACCUCAUCUUCCAGAAUUGUACGAAUUCUGCAAAUAAAACGUGUUACGGCAUCGACCAGGAUCGGGCCGACAAGGCGCGGUGCAUCAACGAUGAGUGCAAAAACCUUACGGGCACAUUCAACUGCACCGCUGGCCAGUGCCUGAACAUCACGGAUGCCUUCGAGUGUGUCUUCCACAACAGCGACGCACCCGUAAAGUGUUCUGGGCGGAGGGGAAAAAUUAAUUGCAUGGACAUUAGUGGCCUGUUCUCCUGUAGCCGGGGAACGUGUCGGAAAAUAAGGACCCCCUACAACUGCGACAGGAGGUGUGUGGAUAUACCGACCCGGAACAAGAAUGUGGUGGUGUUAAGUGGGGACAAGGUGUAUCUAUCCCAGUGCCAGAACGCCAUCAAUGCGGAAACCCUCGAGGAGGUAUGGAACGAAUCGAGCGACAACGUGGCCAUGACUUCCUGUUACUUCAUAAAGAACACAUCGGAUCGGGUGGAUGCAGUGGACUGCAUCAACGGCUCCACUCUGGAGCACAAUAUGCUCAGUGACCUGACCAACUUCACAUAUCUGAGCCACCUGCACGUAUCGGUGGCCACUCCUGUUCCGGAGAUAGCACCUCCAGACGUCGACCUGACCAUUUCCAACGAGUCCAAGCUAAUGAUCAACCUGGAGGGCUGUGUAAACACCCUGAUGGAUGAGUGCAAGGAGUUCCUUAAGGACUUCGGCCGGGAUGGCAGCGACCAUAAUGCCCGCGCCCGCUUCCCCUGCUUCUACUCCCCCUCCAAGAAGGACGUUGUGGUGGCCCGUUUCGAUCUGGAGGUUACCUAUCGCCAAUUUGUGUUCGCCUCGGUGGUGCCAUCCGUCCUCUUUGUUGUGUCCUGCUCGGUGCUGCUCCUGUGCCAGCGCACCGUCUACGUGGGCGACGAUGCCAAGAUGCGAUUCAAGGGAUGUGUCGAUACGGAGACCAUCCUGAACAAGAACAACGUGGGCACACCCACCAACGGCGACAUGGGCGGAGGUGGCGGCGACGAGGUUAUGGCCCUAUGAGAUCCGUCACUCUUUGCUAUUGCCCACAUGUGAGAGGUCUGCGCAGUACUUCUAGGCA
This 2266-nucleotide unclassified non-coding RNA is filed under the name Drosophila ananassae. Its description in RNAcentral is "GF23880". Lineage: Eukaryota; Metazoa; Arthropoda; Insecta; Diptera; Drosophilidae. The record is from RNAcentral.